AUGUCUAAUGAAAUUGAAAGGCUGAAGGCUACUGAUGCUGGUCGAUUGCGGGUUGAGUAUAAUCGUCUAGUUGAGGGUCUAGCUCAAAGACUGCCCGCUCAGGAUGUAUGGCUUGCUAAUCCCGCCUUGCCUGAUGACAUCAUGAAGGAGGCAGUGCCAGGAAAUAUAAGGAAAGCAGAGCAUUUCUUGUCUGUUUUGCGAAGAUUUGUCCAGUAUCUUAAUGGGCGUCUG
This 231-nucleotide unclassified non-coding RNA is filed under the name Hevea brasiliensis (rubber tree). Lineage: Eukaryota; Viridiplantae; Streptophyta; Magnoliopsida; Malpighiales; Euphorbiaceae. The record is from RNAcentral.